Molecule: long non-coding RNA, 384 nt
Filed under: Solanum tuberosum (potato)
Lineage: Eukaryota; Viridiplantae; Streptophyta; Magnoliopsida; Solanales; Solanaceae
Description: long non-coding RNA (STUB_LNC009995)
Source: RNAcentral
UCCUCCUGUCUAGCUCUCUUGCCGCUGCCCCCUUGGGCCUCGCGACGGAGCUGCUCGAUAGUGCGGGCAUGGUCCACUACAUCCAGAAAUGAGCGGCCCGCUGAGACUAAAGACUGAGUCUCAAUCCGCAACUGUAGUCUCAAACCCCGAACAAAACAACGAACCCUCUCCUCCUCAGUAGGUAAUAUCAUGGCGGCAUGCCUGGAGAGCUCGUGGAAUUGGGACUCAUACUCUGAUACUGUAAUGGAGCCCUGCUCUAACCGAGCAAACUGAUCUCUGAGCUGAUCUCUGAUGCUCCUGGGAAUAAAUCGGGCCAAGAAGGCCUCUGAAAACUCAGUCCAUGUGACCGGUGGAGACCCAGCUGGCCUGGUCUCUAAGUAUGUA